AACGAACGCUGGCGGCAGGCUUAACACAUGCAAGUCGAACGAGAUCUUCGGAUCUAGUGGCAGACGGGUGAGGAACACGUGGGAACAUCCCUUUCAGUUCGGAAUAACGUUGGGAAACUAACGCUAAUACCGGAUACGUCCUUCGGGAGAAAGAUUUAUCGCUGAGAGAUUGGCCCGCGUCUGAUUAGCUAGUUGGUGAGGUAACGGCUCACCAAGGCUACGAUCAGUAGCUGAUCUGAGAGGAUGAUCAGCCACAUUGGGACUGAGACACGGCCCAAACUCCUACGGGAGGCAGCAGUGGGGAAUAUUGGACAAUGGGUGCAAGCCUGAUCCAGCCAUGCCGCGUGAGUGAUGACGGCCUUCGGGUUGUAAAGCUCUUUUGUCCGGGAAGAUAAUGACUGUACCGGAAGAAUAAGCCCCGGCAAACUUCGUGCCAGCCGCCGCCGUAA
This 449-nucleotide ribosomal RNA is filed under the name uncultured bacterium. Its description in RNAcentral is "partial 16S ribosomal RNA". It matches the Rfam family "Bacterial small subunit ribosomal RNA", at positions 29 to 523 of the family's 1533-position model. The record is from RNAcentral.